CUUCGGCACACAUAAUUGAUUUCCUUUAAAAAGAAACCCAUCUUGCAAAGAAUAUAUACCUUGAACUCCCCGCUUGCAAUUGUUGAUGAUGGAUGAGAACUCCGCAUCUUCAGAAUAAAGUUCUUUCAUUGAUUGAAAUCCAAGAAUCCUAGAGUCCAGAACCGCAAGCAUAGAAUAUCUUCUCGAUAAAGCAUCUGCUACAACAUUAGUGUGCCCCGGUUUAU
This 224-nucleotide long non-coding RNA is filed under the name Eucalyptus grandis. RNAcentral's name for it is "long non-coding RNA (EGRA_LNC007895)". The record is from RNAcentral. Lineage: Eukaryota; Viridiplantae; Streptophyta; Magnoliopsida; Myrtales; Myrtaceae.